AACAUCGCGCACCUGCGGGAACCUGCGGAGGGAUCAUUACAGGGUUGCAAAACUCCCUAAACCAUUGUGAACGUUACCUAAACCGUUGCUUCGGCGGGCGGCCCGGGUCCUUCCCGGCGCCCCUCGGCCCUCGCGGGCGCCCGCCGGAGGUAAACCAAACUAUUGCAUUGUAUGGCCUCUCUGAGUCUUCUGUACUGAAUAAGUCAAAACUUUCAACAACGGAUCUCAGAUCGGAAGAGC
Molecule: unclassified non-coding RNA, 240 nt
Filed under: soil metagenome
Description: partial contains 5.8S ribosomal RNA, internal transcribed spacer 2, and large subunit ribosomal RNA
Source: RNAcentral